Nycticebus coucang (slow loris) is the source of this 1639-nucleotide RNA transcript. It is a transcript of the gene named sialic acid-binding Ig-like lectin 14, with no coding region annotated. The transcript has 7 exons. NCBI's taxonomy places the organism in Eukaryota, Metazoa, Chordata, Mammalia, Primates, Lorisidae. The record is from RefSeq and is a predicted model, not a curated record.
UCAGGCCCGGCAGCACGGACAUGCUGGCCCUGCUGCUGCUGCCCCUGCUGUGGGGGGGGUCCCUGCAGGUGGACACAGGGUUCAAGGUACAAGUGCCGAAUUCGGUGACCGGGCAGGAGGGCCUGUGUGUCCUCGUGCCCUGUUUCUUCUCCUUCUGGAGUCAGUGGUCUUCCUCUCCCCCACUCUACAUCCACUGGUUCCGGGAUGGGGACCACAUAUACUUUGAUGGUGCUGUGGCCACAAACGACCCAGACAGAACAGUGAAGACACAGACCAGGGACCGAUUCCUCCUCCGUGGAAAUAUCAGGAAUGGAAACUGCUCCCUGAGCAUCAAAAAUGCCAAGAUAGAGGACAGAGGGAGUUACUUCUUGCAAAUGGAGAAAGAGAAUGGUGCAAAAUAUAAUUCUGAAGAGAGGGUGAAUCUGCAGGUGACAGCCCUCACAGAGAAACCUGCCAUCCACUUUCUGGAGCCUCUGGAGUCUGGCCACCCCACACAGCUGAGCUGCAGCCUGCCAGGAUCCUGCCCAGGGGGACGGCCUCUCACGUUCUCCUGGACGGGGGGUGUCCUUCAGGCCCUGGACCCUGGGACCCUUCACUCCUCAGCCAUCACCCUCAUCCUGAGGCCCCAGGACCAUGGCACCAACCUCACCUGUCAGGUGAAACUCCAAAACUCUCAUGUGGCCACAGAGAAAACCGUCCAGCUCAAUGUCACCUAUGCUCCACAGAACCUCACCAUCAGCAUUCUCGGAAAUGGCACAGGUCGCAGAGUCAGUGACCCUGGAGCUGCCCCACAUAGGGGCUGGAGAUGGAGGGGCAUUCACCUGCCAGGCUCAGCACCCACUGGGCUCCCAGCACCUUUCCUUGAGCCUCUCCGUGCAGAGAAGCCCCUCUGGCUGCGGAUGUGUGACUGAGGAGCAGGAGGGCUCCUGGGCACUGCUCAUCACCCUGAUCAGGGGGGCCCUCAUGGGGGCUGGCUUCCUCCUCACCUAUGGCCUCACCUGGCUCUACUACACCAGGUGUGCGGGCCCCCAGGGAAGCAGCAUUAGGAGGCCUGACUGAGCCCCUCUUUCUCAAGACAAAACUGAGAUGUGACACCAAGCCCAGAAGCACAGAUGCAAGGACAUCACUGUCAGCUUCUUUCUGGAAACUCACAUGCCACUGACUGCCCCUGGUUUCCCGCCUGCCCACACCCCACCUGCUAUUCCCCAAUCCUGAUCACCCCCCUUCCUUGCCCUCCCACUCUUCUUCUUCUCUAUCCCCAGCCCUGGGCAAGGAGUGAACUCGGAGUCUUAUCCUCCUGUUACCCUACAGUUACCUUCUUAGCACUUGAGUUUUUCAUCUCCUUAGCUUCUGUCAACAUAGACGCAGAUGCCCAGUGGAGUCAUGGAUGAGGCUUUUCUUUUUUAUUUAAAGACUCUACCUUAUUAUAAUUAUUAUAAAAUCUGACAGCAACAUUUUAUUAUAGGUAAAAUUUUAUUACACAAUACAACAUAAAAACUGAUUUUACUAUUUGAUGCCUCCGUGGGAGUUUAUAGAGCAACCUUAUGUCUUAAUCUUUUAUUCUUUUUUGUUGAACAUGUUUUAUUUAAGGCUUUUUGUUUUUAUUAUGCAUAAAGAAAUAAUCCAGCCUUCAAUUGAA